UUGAUUUAUGAUUCUAUUAAUGCUGGAGGUUGAUGAUAAUAUUUUUUAACGUACAACCUCACCUUUGUUUGGUAUGUAGCUCAUUAUUCUAGUGCUGAUUUUUUCCCCCUUCUCUAAAUAGGAUACUCAAUGCAUAUUCCAAGGUGCCUACAAAGACAAAAUUAUCUUCUAGGGAAAGGUAACAUUAGUUCUUCAUUCUCAUUGAAAUCAUGAAUGCUGGCAAUUUUCUGUAGGCCGAUGCAAUGAAGUUCAAGUAAAAAAAAUAACUUAGUGCUUGUUUGUCAAAACUAAUAAUUUCUUAUAACUGAUCGACCUCUAUUUUUUCCCCACUUUUGGUAGGACCCACGUGUUUUACCUACUUAUAACCACACGUUCCUCUUGACCCAUUGCUUAUAAUCAAGAGUAAUGCUAUUAUGUUGAUUCAUGAAAGUGGCAUUAAUUGACUUGCCCUAAUGAAUGGAUCUCAUAUCUUUACAUUUAAGAUGACAAGUCAAUUAAUGCCACGUUAUUGACACAGAGAAAUUGCAUUAUGUAUAAUCAAUUAUAAGCUUUGACGAACAUGCACUUAUAUAUUUGAAACUUUGAGACCUUCCCUUAUAUGCAUCUAAGAAUUGAUUCACUGUGAAACAUUGCAUUUUUGGUCUGUUUCUCUGCUUAUAUCGAUCUGGUGUAUUAUUUAGUCAAGCUUGUACUUUAUUAUUUGUGUGAGUUUUGUAUAAAAAGAGGGCAGUUGAGAAUUAUGAGUUCUGCUAUAUUAACACUCGCAAUCUGUCAUUGGUUGGUGGAAAAAUUGUGAUCUUAGAAUUACCGAAAGAAGGAUGUUAACACUCAAAUGACUCACUGGGGCUUCAAACUAUUCCCAUUUUCUGGACCCAGAUCAUUCAAGAUGAUAUUUAUCCUUGAUUCAAUGAGUAGUAGUGCAAUGGAGCUCUUUAUUAUAAAUUCGUUGUGACUAACAUAACAUAUUUUGCUCAAACCAUUGCGUUGUCAUGGUUCUGUUAUCAAUUAACUUUGAGUUUAAAUCCUUGUCCAUAUAUCUUGCUUCCAAGGGUAUGAUUAAUCAGAUCUUUAUAGAGUAAUUAUCUCGAAUGAAAGUUAAAAGAGGACCCGGCUUCCCACUCUCGGAGUGGAGUAAACAUGAAGCAGUCAUUUAACUGGUGAAUUUAUGGAAGCUGUAGAAUUUAUGCUGAGUAAACACUGUUUUCAAUAGUAACCCACGGAAUGGAAUUCUCUGUUACUUGAAGAUUUACUUGCAGAAAACAGAGACUAUAUGGGUCUGCUGAUCAAAUGUGUUUAUGCUUUAUUAAAUAAUUUGUGUUUGUUUCUUCAGAGUCUACCCCGCUUCUUACACCUCUCAAUUAAUGUUGUUACGUGCUAGAUCCAUGUCAUCUAAGCUAUAGGCUUAAGGGGUAACUAGUCUGUCAUAUUUUCCAGUGGGCCUGAAAUAUUAUUUGAGUUACAACUUAACCCCUACACUUCC
Molecule: long non-coding RNA, 1480 nt
Filed under: Olea europaea (common olive)
Lineage: Eukaryota; Viridiplantae; Streptophyta; Magnoliopsida; Lamiales; Oleaceae
Description: long non-coding RNA (OEUR_LNC011882)
Source: RNAcentral